Long non-coding RNA from Strongylocentrotus purpuratus (purple sea urchin), 489 nucleotides. RefSeq lists it as uncharacterized. Lineage: Eukaryota; Metazoa; Echinodermata; Echinoidea; Camarodonta; Strongylocentrotidae. The transcript is spliced from 3 exons. The record is from RefSeq and is a predicted model, not a curated record.
AUCGAACGCUUCUUUUGGCAAUAUCAAUUUCCAAGUUCUAAUUCAGAGGAUUGUAUUGAACUGUCAUAUCAGGAUGGAUCGUUUUCAUGGAGUCCUAGAUCAAACCAAACAGGCAAUGGCUUGCUCUGUCAGUAUGAUCGGUCUUGCCAGAGUGUUGAACUUAACCAAUCCGACAUGGUUCUUGAAUACAUGGGCACCUGUUUCCAAUUCCUGGAUGUUUCGAAGAACUGUAAUGACGGAGCCGAAGAGUGUAACGGGAGAAGAGGAUUUCUGGCUGAAAUACUCGAUGAGAGCACUAAUGCUUUAUUGCUGGACCGAGCCCUGUAUCUGAGAAGCAGAGGUGUAAACACGGCCUGGUGGAUCGGUGGUUAUGACGAAGACGUAGGACGGUCCUGGUAUUGGUCUGAUAAAACUCGAAUGAACUAUGAGAAAUGGUACGAUAACGAACCUAGUACGAAUAUCGAAGACUGUGUAGAAAUGAGAAGGGGC